CCCUUAGAUGUCCUGGGCCGCACGCGCGCUACACUGACAUGUUCAACAAGCCUCCUAGUUCGACAGGAUUUGGGAAAUCUUUGAACGCAUGUCGUGAUAGGGAUAGAUCAUUGCAAUUAUUGAUCUUGAACGAGGAAUUCCUAGUAAACGCGAGUCAUCAGCUCGCAUUGAUUACGUCCCUGCCCUUUGUACACACCGCCCGUCGCACCUACCGAUUGAAUGUUUCGGUGAAGAUUCCGGAUAGGACUUUUUUGAUUUAUUUCAAUUUUGUCUUAAAAGCUAUCGAAACCUCAACAUUUAGAGGAAGGUGAAGUCGUAACA
This 321-nucleotide ribosomal RNA is filed under the name uncultured eukaryote. RNAcentral's name for it is "partial 18S ribosomal RNA". It matches the Rfam family "Eukaryotic small subunit ribosomal RNA", at positions 1470 to 1796 of the family's 1831-position model. The record is from RNAcentral.